AGAGUUUGAUCCUGGCUCAGGACGAACGCUGGCGGUGCGCCUUAUGCAUGCAAGUCGAGCGAAGCUUUUCAGUAGUUUACUACAGAAAAUGACUGAGCGGCGAACGGGUGAGUAACGCGUGAGCAAUCUACCUUAGUUACAGGGAUAGCCCGAGGAAACUCGGAUUAAUACCUGAUAUUCUUUAUUUCUCGCUUGAGAAUAAAAGGAAAGGUCAGCCGAACUAAGAUGAGCUCGCGUUCUAUCAGCUAGUUGGUGAGGUGAAAGCUUACCAAGGCUACGACGGAUAGCUGGUCUGAGAGGACGAUCAGCCACACUGGGACUGAGACACGGCCCAGACUCCUACGGGAGGCUGCAGCAGGGAAUAUUGUGCAAUGAACGAAAGUUUGACACAGCGACACCGCGUGUGGGAUGACGGAUCUAGGUUUGUAAACCACUUUCAGGAGGGAAGAAAAUGACGGUACCUCCAUAAGAAGCCCCGGCCAACUACGUGCCAGCAGCCGCGGUAAUACGUAGGGGGCGAGCGUUGUCCGGAUUUAUUGGGCGUAAAGAGCUCGUAGGCGGUUCAACAAGUCGGUCGUGAAGGUUCAGGGCUCAACCCUGAAAUGUCGAUCGAUACUGUUGUGACUAGGAUACGGUAGAGGUGAGUGGAAUUCCGAGUGUAGCGGUGAAAUGCGUAGAUAUUCGGAGGAACACCAAUUGCGAAGGCAGCUCACUGGGCCGCUAUCGACGCUGAGGAGCGAAAGCUAGGGGAGCAAACAGGAUUAGAUACCCUGGUAGUCCUAGCUGUAAACGAUGGAUACUAGACGUAGGAACUGGAUUGACGGUUUCUGUGUCGCAGCUAACGCGUUAAGUAUCCCGCCUGGGGAGUACGGUCGCAAGACUAAAACUCAAAGGAAUUGACGG
Molecule: ribosomal RNA, 903 nt
Filed under: uncultured marine bacterium
Lineage: Bacteria
Description: bacterial SSU rRNA
Rfam family: Bacterial small subunit ribosomal RNA
Source: RNAcentral